RNAcentral lists this long non-coding RNA (1319 nucleotides) under Parus major (Great Tit). RNAcentral describes it as "lncRNA (ENSPMJG00000004103.1)". The record is from RNAcentral. Lineage: Eukaryota; Metazoa; Chordata; Aves; Passeriformes; Paridae.
CCCCAUUCCCAUUCCCAAUCAGGAUUGUUCAGGAUUUUCCCUUCCCAAAAAUCCCCCAGCUCCCAUUCCCUGUUCUCCCCUAACUCCGCUUCUCCCUGAUCCUUCCCAAACCUCUCCAUCCCCGAACGGCGCGGGAAGGACGGAGCGGGAAUUCUGCCACCACCACACCACGCUGAGAUUUCCAGGAUUUCUGGAAUUUUCCUGGAUUUUCCCUGGAGACACUCCCAGCUUCCCAAUUCCCUGCAUCCCAUUAUCCAUCCCUGAUCCAUGCCUUUUUCCAGGAUGGUUUUUUUGGAGGGGGAGGGGGAGAAAAGCUGGCUCUGGCUCUCGGGAAGGUUUUCCCUCCCCCAGCCCCAUGAGGUAUUUCCAUGGAUUUUGAAGCUCAGUUUCACCUGGAAUUUUUUUAAGGAUUUAAGGGAGGAUUUGUAGCACCUUUCGUGGCGAAGCAGCGAGAUUUUCCCAUUAAAAUCCACGGGAAUUCCAGGAUCAUCCCCCGAGCUGCUGGCAGUUCCCAGGGCUCCAGGGAAUCCUCAGAUCCAGCAGGAUGGAGCAAAUUCCCUGGAUCCAGAGCACUUGAAACACAGGAAGAGGCUUCUCUGGAAUUCCCAGCCCUGCUGGAAGCUCCCCCAUGGAAUUCCCGCUCAGGAGCAGCAGAUCCGAAAGGGGGAGAGUGGGAAUUUGUGCCUAAAAACCGGGAAAGAGCCACAAUUCUCCUGGAUUUGCUGUUCCCGACGUCCCAGGGAGAAGGGGAAGCCACUGCACUCCGAAGGAAAUCAUUCCCGGCCUCCGGAAUCCUCCAGGGAUGGGCUGGGAACAGCUCUGGAAGUUUGGGAUCGCCGCAGGAUCCAGCUCCAGCAAUUCCAGCAGCAGAUUUUCCACCUUCCCAGGGGAAUCCUUCCCAGUGCUGGCUCCGGGAAUGUUCCCUUUGGAUCCACACCACGCUCUUCCUUCCUUUCUUCCACAGCUCCAGCUUUUCCCGGGAUGCUCCUGCCAGUCCUGAAGGGUUUGGAUCUCUUUUCCCAAAUCCUGGGGCAGCUGUGGAGCUGCUCGGAACUCCACACUUCAUUUCUUCCCGAGGGGUUAUUCCCGUGGGUUAUUCCUGGGGUUUAUUCCCGUGGGUUAUUCCCGUGGGUUAUUCCCAGGGGUUAUUCCCANCAACAAUUUCCAAGAUUUUUAUUUCAAACCCUUUCUCUCUUCCCUUCCCACCCUCCCCCUACAGCAGAAAAAAAAACCCCAAACAAAAAAAAAACAAAAAAAAAACCCAAAAAACGACGCUAAAAAUGAGUUUUACAAACACCAAGUCAGCUUUUCCUGGCUGA